GCAACGACCCAAAGGGCGAAGCGCGCAGCGCUGAGUCAUCCUUCCCCCACCACCA
This 55-nucleotide small RNA is filed under the name Salmonella enterica. RNAcentral's name for it is "partial RtT sRNA". It matches the Rfam family "RtT RNA", at positions 76 to 130 of the family's 130-position model. From Rfam's summary of the family: This family represents a bacterial cis-regulatory element known as RtT RNA. The exact function of RtT is unknown although it is thought that it may be involved in changing the cellular response in relation to amino acid starvation. The record is from RNAcentral. Lineage: Bacteria; Pseudomonadati; Pseudomonadota; Gammaproteobacteria; Enterobacterales; Enterobacteriaceae.